This 253-nucleotide ribosomal RNA is filed under the name uncultured bacterium. RNAcentral's name for it is "partial 16S ribosomal RNA". It matches the Rfam family "Bacterial small subunit ribosomal RNA", at positions 524 to 776 of the family's 1533-position model. The record is from RNAcentral.
UACGUAGGGUGCGAGCGUUGUCCGGAAUUAUUGGGCGUAAAGAGCUCGUAGGCGGUUUGUUGCGUCGGCCGUGAAAACCUGCAGCUUAACUGUGGGCCUGCGGCCGAUACGGGCAGACUUGAGUUCGGUAGGGGAGACUGGAAUUCCUGGUGUAGCGGUGAAAUGCGCAGAUAUCAGGAGGAACACCGGUGGCGAAGGCGGGUCUCUGGGCCGAUACUGACGCUGAGGAGCGAAAGCGUGGGGAACGAACAGG